RNAcentral lists this long non-coding RNA (218 nucleotides) under Brassica rapa (field mustard). RNAcentral describes it as "long non-coding RNA (BRAP_LNC008152)". Lineage: Eukaryota; Viridiplantae; Streptophyta; Magnoliopsida; Brassicales; Brassicaceae. The record is from RNAcentral.
CCAGAGUUGCUCUGAUACCACAUGAUGAGAUCCUAGGAUGAUGCUCUGGAACAGAUGGGAUAAUCCUUGCAGAAACGAAUCAAAAGACUCAAGCUUCUCAAGGUAUGUGAAUCGAAUGGUGACACAAGAGGCUGCGGAAAGGCUUCUUGAUACUCCUAGGCUUAGAUCGGAUAUGACACACCUCUCUAAAGCCCUUGGGCGUUGGAUAUUACACACCA